This 220-nucleotide unclassified non-coding RNA is filed under the name plant metagenome. RNAcentral's name for it is "partial contains small subunit ribosomal RNA, internal transcribed spacer 1, and 5.8S ribosomal RNA". The record is from RNAcentral.
UUUCCGUAGGUGAACCUGCGGAAGGAUCAUUACAGAGUUCAUGCCCUCACGGGUAGAUCUCCCACCCUUGAAUAUUUAUACCUUAGUUGCUUUGGCAGGCCGUGGAAACACCAUGGGCUCCGGCUUAUGCGUGCCUGCCAGUGGAAACAAACUCUGUUUUUAGUGAUGUCUGAGUACUAUAUAAUAGUUAAAACUUUCAACAACGGAUCUCUUGGUUCUG